RNAcentral lists this transfer RNA (72 nucleotides) under Ornithorhynchus anatinus (platypus). It matches the Rfam family "tRNA". Rfam says of the family: Transfer RNA (tRNA) molecules are approximately 80 nucleotides in length. Their secondary structure includes four short double-helical elements and three loops (D, anti-codon, and T loops). Further hydrogen bonds mediate the characteristic L-shaped molecular structure. tRNAs have two regions of fundamental functional importance: the anti-codon, which is responsible for specific mRNA codon recognition, and the 3' end, to which the tRNAs corresponding amino acid is attached (by aminoacyl-tRNA synthetases). tRNAs cope with the degeneracy of the genetic code in two manners: having more than one tRNA (with a specific anti-codon) for a particular amino acid; and 'wobble' base-pairing, i.e. permitting non-standard base-pairing at the 3rd anti-codon position. The record is from Rfam by way of RNAcentral. Lineage: Eukaryota; Metazoa; Chordata; Mammalia; Monotremata; Ornithorhynchidae.
AGCAGCGUAGCUCAGUGGAAAGAGCACGGGCUUGGGAGUCAGAGGUCAUGGGUUCGAUUCCCGGCUCUGCCA